This 433-nucleotide ribosomal RNA is filed under the name uncultured bacterium. RNAcentral describes it as "partial 16S ribosomal RNA". It matches the Rfam family "Bacterial small subunit ribosomal RNA", at positions 29 to 507 of the family's 1533-position model. The record is from RNAcentral.
AACGAACGCUGGCGGCAUGCCUAACACAUGAAAGGCGAACGAGACCCUCGGGUCUGGUGGCGCACGGGUGCGCAACGCGUGGGAACCUGCCCCUAGGGUCGGAAUAACUCCCCGAAAGGGAGGCUCAUACCGGAUAAUACCGUCGGACCAAAGAUUUAUCGUCCUUGGAUGGGCCCGCGUUUUAUUGGCUCUUUGGUAGGGUAAAAGCCUGCCAAGGCGACGAUCCAUAGCUGGUCUGAGAGGAUGAUCUGCCACACUGGGACGGCGACACGGCCCAGACUCCUACGGGCGGCUGCAGUGUGCAAUCUUGGACUCUGGGCGAAAGCCUGUUCCUGCAAUACCGCGUGAGUGAUGAAGCCCUUAGGCUUGUAGAACACUUUUACCCGGGAUGAUAAUGCCAGUCCCGGGAGUAUGUGCUCCGGCUAACUCCGUG